RNAcentral lists this ribosomal RNA (963 nucleotides) under Bacillus subtilis. RNAcentral's name for it is "bacterial SSU rRNA". It matches the Rfam family "Bacterial small subunit ribosomal RNA", at positions 396 to 1351 of the family's 1533-position model. Lineage: Bacteria; Bacillati; Bacillota; Bacilli; Caryophanales; Bacillaceae. The record is from RNAcentral.
GCCGCGUGAGUGAUGAAGGUUUUCGGAUCGUAAAGCUCUGUUGUUAGGGAAGAACAAGUACCGUUCGAAUAGGGCGGUACCUUGACGGUACCUAACCAGAAAGCCACGGCUAACUACGUGCCAGCAGCCGCGGUAAUACGUAGGUGGCAAGCGUUGUCCGGAAUUAUUGGGCGUAAAGGGCUCGCAGGCGGUUUCUUAAGUCUGAUGUGAAAGCCCCCGGCUCAACCGGGGAGGGUCAUUGGAAACUGGGGAACUUGAGUGCAGAAGAGGAGAGUGGAAUUCCACGUGUAGCGGUGAAAUGCGUAGAGAUGUGGAGGAACACCAGUGGCGAAGGCGACUCUCUGGUCUGUAACUGACGCUGAGGAGCGAAAGCGUGGGGAGCGAACAGGAUUAGAUACCCUGGUAGUCCACGCCGUAAACGAUGAGUGCUAAGUGUUAGGGGGUUUCCGCCCCUUAGUGCUGCAGCUAACGCAUUAAGCACUCCGCCUGGGGAGUACGGUCGCAAGACUGAAACUCAAAGGAAUUGACGGGGGCCCGCACAAGCGGUGGAGCAUGUGGUUUAAUUCGAAGCAACGCGAAGAACCUUACCAGGUCUUGACAUCCUCUGACAAUCCUAGAGAUAGGACGUCCCCUUCGGGGGCAGAGUGACAGGUGGUGCAUGGUUGUCGUCAGCUCGUGUCGUGAGAUGUUGGGUUAAGUCCCGCAACGAGCGCAACCCUUGAUCUUAGUUGCCAGCAUUCAGUUGGGCACUCUAAGGUGACUGCCGGUGACAAACCGGAGGAAGGUGGGGAUGACGUCAAAUCAUCAUGCCCCUUAUGACCUGGGCUACACACGUGCUACAAUGGACAGAACAAAGGGCAGCGAAACCGCGAGGUUAAGCCAAUCCCACAAAUCUGUUCUCAGUUCGGAUCGCAGUCUGCAACUCGACUGCGUGAAGCUGGAAUCGCUAGUAAUCGCGGAUCA